Mauremys reevesii (Reeves's turtle) is the source of this 72-nucleotide non-coding RNA. Lineage: Eukaryota; Metazoa; Chordata; Testudines; Geoemydidae. The record is from the annotation of a RefSeq genome assembly.
GGGGGUAUAGCUCAGUGGUAGGGUGUUUGACUCCAGAUCAAGUGGGCCUUAGUUCAAAGCCAAGUGCUCCCU